GUCUCUGUGGCGCAAUCGGUUAGCGCGUUCGGCUGUUAACCGA
Molecule: non-coding RNA, 43 nt
Organism: Trichuris suis (pig whipworm)
Lineage: Eukaryota; Metazoa; Nematoda; Enoplea; Trichinellida; Trichuridae
Source: Rfam